GAAUAGCUCAUGCUUGUGAUCAAAUGAUGGUGAAGCACUUAAGCUUCAUUGUAAAUACCAUAACCAAUUCCCUAUGAAAAGGUAAUUGUGGCCUAGAAUCACUCAUCCUGUCAUCCAUCCUCAUGCAUCAAACUGGUUAAGUGCUUCACCAUCAUUUGAUCACAAGCAUGAGCUAUUCA
RNAcentral lists this non-coding RNA (179 nucleotides) under Cynara cardunculus (cardoon). Lineage: Eukaryota; Viridiplantae; Streptophyta; Magnoliopsida; Asterales; Asteraceae. RNAcentral also lists the same sequence under 1 other name. The record is from miRBase by way of RNAcentral.